RNAcentral lists this ribosomal RNA (369 nucleotides) under uncultured Alphaproteobacteria bacterium. RNAcentral describes it as "bacterial SSU rRNA". It matches the Rfam family "Bacterial small subunit ribosomal RNA", at positions 547 to 916 of the family's 1533-position model. The record is from RNAcentral. Lineage: Bacteria; Pseudomonadati; Pseudomonadota; Alphaproteobacteria.
GGAAUUACUGGGCGUAAAGGGCGCGUAGGCGGUCUUAUAAGUUUGGUGUGAAAGCCCUGGGCUUAACCUAGGAAUAGCAUUGGAUACUGUAAGACUUGAGACCGAGAGAGGGAAAUGGAAUUGCGAGUGUAGAGGUGAAAUUCGUAGAUAUUCGCAAGAACACCAGUGGCGAAGGCGAUUUCCUGGCUCGGUACUGACGCUAAGGCGCGAAAGCGUGGGGAGCAAACAGGAUUAGAUACCCUGGUAGUCCACGCUGUAAACGAUGAAUGCUAGAUGUUGGGGAUUAAAAUCUUCAGUGUCGUCGCUAACGCAAUAAGCAUUCCGCCUGGGGAGUACGGUCGCAAGAUUAAAACUCAAAGGAAUUGACGG